Molecule: long non-coding RNA, 875 nt
Organism: Lathyrus oleraceus (garden pea)
Lineage: Eukaryota; Viridiplantae; Streptophyta; Magnoliopsida; Fabales; Fabaceae
Exons: 3
Source: RefSeq, a predicted model, not a curated record
AGAAAAACUCCAAGCUCUCUCUCAUUUUCGACUCCAAGUUUCACAAACUUUUUUCUGAUUUUUCUUCAAGAUCCUUCGAUCUUUUGUGCAAUUUGGCUGUAGAUUCACGUUUUGCAGGUAAUGCUGAAGUGCUGCUGAGCAAGAUUGAGAUGAAAUUGCAACAAAUUCGUGACUGUUGUGGAGCUGUCCUUCCAUGGUAAUCAAGAAAAUCCGUUCGAUUCUCGCAUCCUCGAGCUGAACGAACAUCAUCAUCCACCUUCCGCGGCUACACACUCCGUCUGUCUCGCUUUUGUUUUUGAGCUCUGCAGAUCGCCAUUUCCGCAACCGUCGUCAAGAGAGGUACCCUUUAGUCGCUCAGUUCUCUUAAGAACUUGCAUUGCUUUGCUUAUAAGCAAUUGGCAUUGAGACGCAUUUCACCGGUACUACACCAGAGCCAUCUCUGCCAGAUUGAUGGAUCAUCUUGAGCAAGAGAAUUGUGAACUCAGAGAGAUAUUUGCCAGACUAUGUACUAUUGAUGGAUUUAUUCCUGGUUAACCAAUCCCGGGCUGGCAUUGGCUACUGUUCUGGGACAUUUAAUGAGCAAGGCUUGUUCACAAGUGGAGGAUUCAUCCAUGAUGAUCAGUCUGUAGAAGAGGAAACUGCUGCUAUCAUUGAAGAAGACGCAGAGGAUAUGAGCAAUUUCGUUAUACCUGGUGGUGUCUGCCACAAUUGGGUCGCUGUGGAUGUUCCUACGGUCAUUCAUAAGUCAGAGUAAAUUUGUUCACUUUGUUUAAAACCCUUCUCCCACGCCAAAAGGAGAAGUGAUGACAUUGUUGGCAACAUUUAAAACAAUGAUGUUUUCAUUCAAUUAAUGCAUUGUUAAACAUUUGUUUUUC